CUCGGUGGUCAUUGCGAAGAGGUCACACCCGAUCCCAUCCCGAACUCGGUCGUUAAGCUCUUCAGCGCCGAUGGUACUGCAUGAUUUUUUGUGUGGGAGAGUAGGUCGCCGCCGGGG
RNAcentral lists this ribosomal RNA (117 nucleotides) under uncultured bacterium HF0010_08B07. The record is from RNAcentral.